This is a long non-coding RNA of Canis lupus familiaris (dog), 714 nucleotides long. RefSeq lists it as uncharacterized. The record is from RefSeq and is a predicted model, not a curated record. NCBI's taxonomy places the organism in Eukaryota, Metazoa, Chordata, Mammalia, Carnivora, Canidae. The transcript is spliced from 3 exons.
GGGGAGGUGAUGGGGCUCGGGCAAGAAGGGCUUCACGGAGGAGGUGCUGUGUGAGCAGAGUGUCGAGAGGCACGAGGAUGUGGUGUGAGCCGGGGUCAGCUGGAGAUGUGUGGUUUCGGCUGAUGCUACCAGCGGUUCCGUGGAGUUUAAGGCUUGAGCCGGGUGUGACCAGAGGUGUGGGAUGGGGCCACUUCAAUCUGAGGGUCGUGGGGAGUCGCUCAGGGCAUUUGAGAGAGAGAGAGGACUCGAUCGUUUGUGGUUUAGAGGGAAGCCUGGUGUUGACAGAUGAAGAACGAUGCAGCCGAGGAAAGGGACCCGGCCUAGACGACUGGAGAGAGGAACCAUCCUUUGAGCAGAGAAGGCGGUGACAGUCAGGCCUGAGGACACACUUCCCCCUCCGCCUCCGGCUCAAGCUGUCACCCUCACCCCAGCCCCUCACCGCUGUGGCCACCUCGCCUGGAUGAACUGGCCUGCUUCGUCUCAUCCUUCUCUGAACCCCCACGGCCCAUGUCUCCACGCCACUUAGGCUGACUAAAGCAAAGUGGGGAAAAAUCGUAUCUGGACAAAGGAAACUUCUCUCUCUAAAUCUAAAAGACUCAUGUCGGGAUCCCUGGGUGGCGCAGCGGUUUGGCGCCUGCCUUUGGCCCAGGGCGCGAUCCUGGAGACCCCGGAUCGAAUCCCACGUCGGGCUCCCGGUGCAUGGAGCCUGCUUCU